AUGGGUUGUCUGCUGGCUCGCAAGGGCAUGUGCACGCCUGUCUCAUCCACUCUCAACUUCUGUGCACUUUUCAUAGGCCGGCUUGUGGGUGCGUUCGCGCACUUGUAGGUGUCGGGCUUAUGCUUUACUACAAACGAUUCAGUUUUAGAAUGUCAUACUUUGCUAUAACGCAAUUAUAUACAACUUUCAGCAACGGAUCUCUUGGCUCUCGCAUCGAUGAAGAACGCAGCGAAAUGCGAUAAGUAAUGUGAAUUGCAGAAUUCAGUGAAUCAUCGAAUCUUUGAACGCACCUUGCGCUCCUUGGUAUUCCGAGGAGCAUGCCUGUUUGAGUCUCAUGGAAUUCUCAACCUUCAGCUUUAUUGAUGAAGGCUUGGACUUGGAGGUCGUGCAGGCUCUCGUAGUCGGCUCCUCUGAAAUGCAUUAGUGCGAACGUUACCAGCCGCUUCAGCGUGAUAAUUAUCUGCGUUGCUGUGGAGGGUAUUCUAGUGUUCACGCUUCUAACCGUCUUCGGACAAAUUUCUGAACUCUGAGCUCAAAUCAGGUAGGACUACCCGCUGAACUUAAGCAUAUCAAUAA
Molecule: ribosomal RNA, 576 nt
Filed under: Bjerkandera adusta
Lineage: Eukaryota; Fungi; Basidiomycota; Agaricomycetes; Polyporales; Phanerochaetaceae
Description: eukaryotic LSU rRNA
Rfam family: 5.8S ribosomal RNA (bases 182-335)
Source: RNAcentral